GCUCCCGUGGCUCAGUUGGUUAGAGCAUUGGUCUUAUGAACCGAAGGUCAGGGGUUCGAGCCCCCUCGGGAGCA
This is a non-coding RNA of Eimeria praecox, 74 nucleotides long. The record is from Rfam. NCBI's taxonomy places the organism in Eukaryota, Apicomplexa, Conoidasida, Eucoccidiorida, Eimeriidae.